UGGCAGUGAUGACCAUCUUAGGACACCUUUGGAAUAACCAUGAAAAAAUAAUUGUUUCUCUCUGAGCCAU
Molecule: non-coding RNA, 70 nt
Organism: Nipponia nippon (crested ibis)
Lineage: Eukaryota; Metazoa; Chordata; Aves; Pelecaniformes; Threskiornithidae
Source: Rfam